GGGAAACUGCCUGAUGGAGGGGGAUAACUACUGGAAACGGUAGCUAAUACCGCAUAACGCCGCAAGACCAAAGAGGGGGACCUUCGGGCCUCUUGCCAUCAGAUGUGCCCAGAUGGGAUUAGCUAGUAGGUGGGGUAACGGCUCACCUAGGCGACGAUCCCUAGCUGGUCUGAGAGGAUGACCAGCCACACUGGAACUGAGACACGGUCCAGACUCCUACGGGAGGCAGCAGUGGGGAAUAUUGCACAAUGGGCGCAAGCCUGAUGCAGCCAUGCCGCGUGUAUGAAGAAGGCCUUCGGGUUGUAAAGUACUUUCAGCGAGGAGGAAGGUGUUGAGGUUAAUAACCUCAGCAAUUGACGUUACUCGCAGAAGAAGCACCGGCUAACUCCGUGCCAGCAGCCGCGGUAAUACGGAGGGUGCAAGCGUUAAUCGGAAUUACUGGGCGUAAAGCGCACGCAGGCGGUCUGUCAAGUCGGAUGUGAAAUCCCCGGGCUCAACCUGGGAACUGCAUUCGAAACUGGCAGGCUAGAGUCUUGUAGAGGGGGGUAGAAUUCCAGGU
RNAcentral lists this ribosomal RNA (559 nucleotides) under uncultured bacterium. RNAcentral describes it as "bacterial SSU rRNA". It matches the Rfam family "Bacterial small subunit ribosomal RNA", at positions 120 to 674 of the family's 1533-position model. The record is from RNAcentral.